RNAcentral lists this long non-coding RNA (874 nucleotides) under Bemisia tabaci. RNAcentral describes it as "lncRNA ENSSSA3NGG005663". Lineage: Eukaryota; Metazoa; Arthropoda; Insecta; Hemiptera; Aleyrodidae. The record is from RNAcentral.
AUACGUCAUCCUGUAACCGGUCAAAUCGUCCCCGUCGCACGUCAUCCUGUGACCGGCCCAAGACCUCACCCUGGAGCUGCGCGCCCUCUUGUUGGCGUAAAACCAUUGACGGUCAAGCCUCCUCGGCCAGAGCGUUGCCUUACAAGGAAUGGAUCUAUAUCAAAUCUCCUGGUCCUGGUUAUAAUAGACUGCACCCCCUUGUGCCGAAUCUCCUAAAGUUAGCCCUAUGACGAAAAAAGUGCCGAGAGACGUGCAUUGGAUUGAGAGCGAGUUUUAUCCUCCACCUCAGGAUCAGAAUGAGGCAAAUGACUCUUGCGGUGGAUGCUGGGCCUACGCAAGUGCCAGCGUCAUGGAGAUUCUUGUAUCGCGGAAACUACGGCAAGUUACUCGGCUCUCUAAACAACAGUUGCUCGACUGUGAGAAGGAGAACAACGGAUGCGAUGGCGGCGACCUCGAAAACGGUCUCCAUUACAUCAUGGAAACCGGGCUGGCACUUGAAAGGGACUACUCGUUCACAGGAAGAGGAGGGGGCACUUGCAAGAACGUUUCCGAUAAAAUCAUAGUUCGCAUAAAGGAGAUGGAAUUCAGUGAUUCCGCAAGUGAAAUCAUAUCGGUCUAAAAAAUUCUCCGAUGCCUCUCAGCUUCUACGCCCCAUAUGGUAUUCAGGUAAUCUCGUCCGGUGGCGUGGAGUGCUUUGCGAUAUAUUGAUUGAUCUGCCAUUUCAACCUAUGGAAAAAGAUCGAUAUUCAGGGUGUUUGCAGUAGAGUACCUAUGUAGAGAGAGUAUGGACAUGUCGAAAAUUUUGAGGUUAGGUGAUGGAGCUCUUAGACCCCAAGAGAGUAGGCAAUCUAUGAAUUCAAAUUAUCCAGAGUGA